GGAGCGGUAGUUCAGUCGGUAAGAAUACCGGCCUGACACGCCGGGGUCGCGGGUUCGAGUCCCGUCCGCUCCGCCA
Molecule: transfer RNA, 76 nt
Filed under: Vibrio cholerae
Lineage: Bacteria; Pseudomonadati; Pseudomonadota; Gammaproteobacteria; Vibrionales; Vibrionaceae
Description: tRNA-Val
Rfam family: tRNA
About the family: Transfer RNA (tRNA) molecules are approximately 80 nucleotides in length. Their secondary structure includes four short double-helical elements and three loops (D, anti-codon, and T loops).
Source: RNAcentral